ACACAACUCAAGAUAACCUAUGGAGGAGUGACAACUCAGAAACAUGAUUGUUGGUAUCCCUUCCUUUGUUUGAAAAAGGAUCUCGGUACCCAUUUGAUUUAACUUAAACCGACCGUUUAUCUAAGUUGUAUAUAUAGUGGAUAGUAUUCAAAGCAAACUGGCCUUUCAUCUGAUCCAUUUAUUUUGAGUCAAUUUCAAACUUUUUUUUUGACGAAACAACCAUCAACGGGUUAUUUAUUGCCAAAGAACCGUUCGACCGCGGAAGAAAUGGCCCGUUUAUAAGGAAAAACACAAAAAAAAAACACUAGAGCUUGGAGGUAGGGUUAGAGGUCUAGAAAACUAGAAAAACAACCUAAGAAACAUCAUCUGAUUCGGAAACGAGAGCACCCAAACCCAAGGUCACUACAUGGUGCAUCUCAAUUACAACCUGCACACUCACUCCACCCUUGAAAAUCUCCUUGUGCCGACGACUCUCCAUCCGAAUAGCGCUAAUCCCUAGCGACGAUAAAGGCCCACAACCAAAGAGACUCCUAAAACAAUUGUAAAAGGUCACAUGCUUAUACAUUUACCGUCUGCGUAUCCGACAAUAGAUCAUCACAAGUGAGCCCUGAAGCCGCGAGGUCCACUUGUGCCUUUCCGCUGACGCCAGCCAAGACGUGAAUCGCCUCGAUCGCCUCGGGCAUGAGCGGCUUCUUGUACAUCUCCAAGUAUGCCUUCAUCCUCUUCUCUGCGCUCUCCUCGGAGUCAUUCUCCUUUUCCUUUCCAAUGGGCAUUUCUCCAAAUGCCUCCUCUAGCCUAAUCUCAGCCCGCUUGGCC
This 816-nucleotide long non-coding RNA is filed under the name Brachypodium distachyon (stiff brome). RNAcentral's name for it is "long non-coding RNA (BDIS_LNC003518)". Lineage: Eukaryota; Viridiplantae; Streptophyta; Magnoliopsida; Poales; Poaceae. The record is from RNAcentral.